RNAcentral lists this long non-coding RNA (254 nucleotides) under Rattus norvegicus (Norway rat). Its description in RNAcentral is "long non-coding RNA NONRATT033677". The record is from RNAcentral. Lineage: Eukaryota; Metazoa; Chordata; Mammalia; Rodentia; Muridae.
CAGAGGUUUGUUUCCAUGGUGACUCUAAAUUCCAUCAUGGGGAGAUUAAGAUCACCCAUUGCACCUGCCUUGAAGAUGGGUUUUCUAUUUCUAUCCCAGUGAGGUCUUGGAAAGGAUGUCAACCAGUGUGAACCUGCUUCCUUAUCUGCUAAUGGGGGCCGAGUGCAAGUGCCUAAGCAUCCGGGCCUUUUCUCUGUUAGGUAUCCAUAUAAUUUGGCUUGGCAUCUUGCUAUGUACUAAUGUGAUCCAGUCAG